GACGAACGCUGGCGGCGUGCUUAAUACAUGCAAGUCGAACGGAAAGGCGCUGCUUUUGUGGGUUGCUCGUGUGGCGAACGGGUGUGUAACACGUGAGUAAACUGCCCUUGUCUUUGGGAUAACUUCAGGAAAAUGCGGCUAAUACCCGAUAGGAGCUCUUGCUGCAUGUUGGUGGUUGGAAAGAUACGGCGGUUCGGGCAGGACUCGCGGCUUAUCAGCUUGUUUGGGGGGUAGUGGCUUACCAAGGCUUUGACGGGUAGCCGGCCUGGGAGGGUUACCGGGCUCAUGGGUCCUGAGAUAGGGCCCAGACUCCAACGGGACGCAGCAGUGGGGAAUAUUGCGCAAUGGGCGGAAGCCUGAUGCAGCAACGCCGCGUGCGGGAUGCCCGCCUUCGGGUUGUAAACCGCUUUCGCCUGUAAUGAAGCGUGCGUGACGGUAAUGAGUAAAGAAGCACCGGCUAACUACGUG
Molecule: ribosomal RNA, 468 nt
Filed under: uncultured bacterium
Lineage: Bacteria
Description: partial 16S ribosomal RNA
Rfam family: Bacterial small subunit ribosomal RNA
Source: RNAcentral